This 254-nucleotide ribosomal RNA is filed under the name uncultured bacterium. RNAcentral's name for it is "partial 16S ribosomal RNA". It matches the Rfam family "Bacterial small subunit ribosomal RNA", at positions 524 to 776 of the family's 1533-position model. The record is from RNAcentral.
UACGUAGGGGCCAAGCGUUGUCCGGAUUUAUUGGGCGUAAAGAGCUCGUAGGCGGUUGGGUAAGUCGGGUGUGAAAACUCCAGGCUCAACUUGGAGAUGUCACCCGAUACUGCUCUGACUUGAGUUCGGUAGGGGAGUGGGGAAUUCCUGGUGUAGCGGUGAAAUGCGCAGAUAUCAGGAGGAACACCGAUGGCGAAGGCAGGUCUCUGGGCCGAUACUGACGCUGAGGAGCGAAAGCGUGGGGAGCGAACAGG